GAUGAACGCUGGCGGCGUGCCUAAUACAUGCAAGUCGAGCGAACAGAUGAGGAGCUUGCUCCUCUGACGUUAGCGGCGGACGGGUGAGUAACACGUGGAUAACCUACCUAUAAGACUGGGAUAACUUCGGGAAACCGGAGCUAAUACCGGAUAAUAUAAUGAACCGCAUGGUUCAAUAGUGAAAGACGGUUUUGCUGUCACUUAUAGAUGGAUCCGCGCCGCAUUAGCUAGUUGGUAAGGUAACGGCUUACCAAGGCAACGAUGCGUAGCCGACCUGAGAGGGUGAUCGGCCACACUGGAACUGAGACACGGUCCAGACUCCUACGGGAGGCAGCAGUAGGGAAUCUUCCGCAAUGGGCGAAAGCCUGACGGAGCAACGCCGCGUGAGUGAUGAAGGUCUUCGGAUCGUAAAACUCUGUUAUUAGGGAAGAACAAAUGUGUAAGUAACUAUGCACGUCUUGACGGUACCUAAUCAGAAAGCCACGGCUAACUACGUG
Molecule: ribosomal RNA, 497 nt
Filed under: uncultured bacterium
Lineage: Bacteria
Description: partial 16S ribosomal RNA
Rfam family: Bacterial small subunit ribosomal RNA
Source: RNAcentral